This 301-nucleotide ribosomal RNA is filed under the name uncultured bacterium. Its description in RNAcentral is "partial 16S ribosomal RNA". It matches the Rfam family "Bacterial small subunit ribosomal RNA", at positions 509 to 807 of the family's 1533-position model. The record is from RNAcentral.
CAGUAGCCACGGUAAUACGGAGGGUGCAAGCGUUGUCCGGAUUUAUUGGGUUUAAAGGGUGCGUAGGCGGCCUAAUAAGUCAGUGGUGAAAGCCUCCAGCUUAACUGGAGAACUGCCAUUGAUACUGUUAGGCUUGAGUAUACUUGAGGUAGGCGGAAUUGACAGUGUAGCGGUGAAAUGCAUAGAUAUUGUCAAGAACACCAAUUGCGAAGGCAGCUUACUAAAUUAUAACUGACGCUGAGGCACGGAAGUGUGGGUAUCAAACAGGAUUAGAUACCCCAGUAGUCCCUGUCUCUUAUAC